AUUCAUAGCAGCCUUAUUCAUAAUAGCAGAAUACUGGAAAUUACUCAAAUGUCCAACAAGAAAAGCAGGAACACUUACAGCAAGACAAAUGAAUCUCAAAAUGAUUAUAUUUUUAAAGGAUAACAUAUUGAGCUAAGUGAAAGAAUCCAGGCACAAGGACAUAUAUGUUAUAUGACUCCAUUUAUAUGAAAUUCUAUAACAUGCAAAGUUAAUCAAUAUUGAAAAAUAUCAGAAGAGUGGUUGUUUUGGGGGGUACAGGGAAAAUCUACUGGAAAGGGACACAAAAGAUCUUUCUGGGAUAAGGAAAAUGUUAUGUAUCUUAGUUGUAGUCAAGUACCAGAACUCAUUUAAUUAAAUACCUAUGAUUCUGUGCAUUUUUUUUUUAAGCAGAGUUUUCUUUUCUUUCUUUUUAUUUAUUUAUUUAUUUAUUUUUGGCUGCAUUGGGUCUUCAUUGCUGUGCACAAGCUUUCUCUAGUUGUGGCGAGCAGGGACUACUCUUUGUUGCGGUGCACGGGCUUCUCAUUGCGGUGGCUUCUCUUGUUGUGGAGCACGGGCUCUAGGCUGCAGGGUUCAUAGUUGUGGCUCGCGGGCUCUAGAGCACAGGCUCAGUAGUUGUGGUGCACAGGCUUAGUUGCUCUGCGGCAUCUUCCCUGACCAGGGCUCAAACCUGUGUCCCCUGCAUUGGCAGGCGGAUUCUUAACCACUGUGCCACCAGGGAAGCCCCAGUGUGACUUUUUAUCAGACCUCACCAUAGGCUUUGGCUACCUUUAUCUGAUUCUAUAACCAGCAGUGACACUGUUCUUUCAAUAAAUUUUUAGAGCACUGUAUUAGUUUCCCGUGGCUGCUAUAAUAAAUUACCACAAAUUGGUUGCUUAAAACAGCAGAAAUUUAUUCUUACAAUUCUGGGGUCCAGAAGUCAGAAAUCAAGGUGUCAGCCAGGCUGCACACCCUCCAGAGGCUGUAGGAAAUAAUCUACUCUUGGCUUCUUCCAGUUUCUGGUGGCUGCAGAUGUUCCUUGGCUUUGUCCACAUCAUUCCAAUCUCUCUCUGUAGUUACACUUCCACCUACUCUCUUAUAUUUGUCUACCUGAUCUCUUUCUGCCUCUUUCUUGUAAUUGCACUUAGGGCCCACACAGGUAAUCCAAAAUAAACUCCUCCUCUCAAGAUCCUUAAUUUACAUCUUUUGCCAUGUAAGGCAAGUCACAGGUUCCAGGGGUUAGGAUGUAAACAUGUAUUUUCGGUCACUGUUCAGUUCAAUGCAAGCACUUACUCUGCUGUGCUCUUAUUUGCCUAAAGGAAAAGAGCACCAAGACUGAAGCUAGAAGUUAUUGGUCUUUUUAUCAGCUUGGUCACUAGCUGUAUGACUCUGUGAAAGUUGUCUAACCUCUCUGGAUUUUAUCUCAUCUGUCAAAUGGGGUCAGGGUACCUGUCCUGAUGCCUCACAGGGCUGUGGUACAACUAGAAUGAGACUGCAGAUAUAAAAGUGCUCUCAGAGCAUAAGCCACUCUAUUGGUGUCAAAGAUGACUGGUGAUGAUGAAUUUGAUAUUCAUAUGGAUCAGGAGAAAAAUAUAUAAAUAUACAGUCACAAUAUAAGGUUAUGGGGAAAUAAACAGGUCUAAAAUUCCUUGAGGGCAUACAAAAGGAGCUGAAGGGAACUAUUCACUGUGGUUAUUUCUGGAUGGUGGGAUUAUUAGUGAUUUCCUUGUACCUGUCUAUAUGUUCCAAAUCCUUUAUAAUAAGCACACAAUACGUUUAUGAUCCUUACUUCCUAGGGUUGUUUACUAAAUAACUUAUGUUCAGUACUUCACAUAGUACUCGAUGUGAGUUUUUAUAAAUCCUCAAUAUAAAGGCAGAUUAAUCUGAUGUUAUAAGAAAAUGCAAAAGUCUGGAUUUUAACAAAGCAGCUGAUAUGUCACCCUAUCAUGAGCCCAAAUAUACAAAACACAGAUAGAAUUAGAGGUACUGAGUAAUGGUCACAGUCAAUUUAGGACAUUUCUAAUGUAAUUUCAAAAGGUUCCACCUCUAGGCAGAUUUUUUUUUGCUUGUUUGUUUUGUUUUGGCUACACCACGAGGCAUGCAGGAUCUUAGUUCCCUCACCAGGGAUCGAACCCAGGUCCCGGCAGUGAAAGCGCUGAGCUCUAACCACUGGACUGCCAGGGAAUUCCCCAAUUCUAGACAUUUCUUAUUCAAAAUACUCAUUUUACAAUAUGAACAAUAUGCUUGUCAAGUUCACAAACAACAUCAAGGAGUUGAAUAAAGAACAUCUGAAAAGACAAAGCAUGAACCAAAAAGAACACCAACAGGUUAGAAUAAUGUGCUCUCAUCACUGUGAACUAGACUAGAAAAUACCCCAUUCAUACUACCUCGUAUCUGGGCAUGCUCUUUGAUAAUACCAAGAUAUCUUGAAACCUCAUUGAAAAUAGCAGAGAAUCAACACUUCCAACCCAAAAUGGGGGGUUUUACAACUUCAGAAUGAGAGGCUAAGACUAUAACUGUCAUUUCUCAAAGACGACAUUGCACUGGCAACCUCUUUUCUAAUUUAGAAUCCAUGUGGUUGAAGCCCACAUGGUCCUUGGCCAUGAAAAUGGUUACAAAUUUUGAAAAUGACAUGCCAGCAAAUUUCUGCAAACCCAGUAAUAAAAAAUGAAAAAAUAAGCCACACCAAUUCUGGACCAUGUCCUUAUAACUCUAUCUCUUUUGAGGAGACUCAUAGGCAAUGUCAGUAUCUUUUAAGGGAACUUUAUAGAUUAGUUGGGGGGAGGACACUAUCAGGAUCCCUUUCUUCUAGAUUUAGUUUAAAAGAGAAGACAUGCAACAAAAACCUCACAGUCAUUUUGGAAUGGAGCAUAUUUAAAAGUAUACCCAGAUGAAGCUUAAAACCAUUAUGCUAAGUGAAAUAAGCCAGUUAUGAAAGGACAAAUAUUGUGUUAAACCAUUUAUAAGGUACCUAGAAUAGUCAAAUGCAUAGAAACAGAAAAGGGAAUAACGGUUCCCAGGGUGCUGGGGAAAGAGGGAAAGGAGAUUGUUUAUUAAUGUAUUUAGAGUUUCAGUAUGAGAAGGUGAAAAAGUUGAUGGUGGUAAUGUUUGCAUAACAAUGUGAAUGCACCUAAUGCCACUGAACUAUACACUUAAAAAUGAUUAAAAUGGUAUUAUGUUAUGUAUUACUUUACCACAACAUUUAAAAAAAAAAAUGAAACUAGGAAAAAGUGUAACCAACUCGACAGAAUUAUCGUAUGACUCAGUGAUUCUACUCCUAGAUAUAUACCCCAAAUAAUUUAAAAUACUCAAAUAUUUGUACACAAUUGUUCAUAUCAGCACUAUUUACAAUAUCCAGAAGGUAGAAAUAGGCCAUAUGCCCAUCAACAGAUAAAUAAAAGAAACAAAAUUGGUAUAGCCAUACAAUGGACUAUCAUUCAGUCACAAAAAGGAAUGAAGUAAUGAUACACACCGCCACGUGGAUAAACCUCAAAAAUGUGAAAUGAAGCAGAUUGGUUGCCUGGGUCUAUGGGGAGGGGAAAUUGGGAGCUACUGCUUAAUGGGUAUAGGAUUUUCUUUCAGAGUUGAUAAAAAUCACUUAAUUGUAUACUUUAAAAUGAUUUAUUUUAUGUUAUGUGAUUUUUACCUCAAUUUUUAAAAA
This is a non-coding RNA of Kogia breviceps (pygmy sperm whale), 3637 nucleotides long. The record is from RefSeq and is a predicted model, not a curated record. NCBI's taxonomy places the organism in Eukaryota, Metazoa, Chordata, Mammalia, Artiodactyla, Physeteridae.